RNAcentral lists this ribosomal RNA (711 nucleotides) under uncultured Lactobacillus sp. Its description in RNAcentral is "bacterial SSU rRNA". It matches the Rfam family "Bacterial small subunit ribosomal RNA", at positions 8 to 683 of the family's 1533-position model. Lineage: Bacteria; Bacillati; Bacillota; Bacilli; Lactobacillales; Lactobacillaceae. The record is from RNAcentral.
AGAGUUUGAUCCUGGCUCAGGAUGAACGCUGGCGGCGUGCCUAAUACAUGCAAGUCGAACGAGUUCUGAUUAUUGAAAGGUGCUUGCAUCUUGAUUUAAUUUUGAACGAGAGGCGGACGGGUGAGUAACACGUGGGUAACCUACCCUUAAGUGGGGGAUAACAUUUGGAAACAGAUGCUAAUACCGCAUAAAUCCAAAAACCGCAUGGUUCUUGGCUGAAAGAUGGCGUAAGCUAUCGCUUUUGGAUGGACCCGCGGCGUAUUAGCUAGUUGGUGAGGUAACGGCUCACCAAGGCAAUGAUACGUAGCCGAACUGAGAGGUUGAUCGGCCACAUUGGGACUGAGACACGGCCCAAACUCCUACGGGAGGCAGCAGUAGGGAAUCUUCCACAAUGGACGCAAGUCUGAUGGAGCAACGCCGCGUGAGUGAAGAAGGCUUUCGGGUCGUAAAACUCUGUUGUUGGAGAAGAAUGGUCGGCAGAGUAACUGUUGUCGGCGUGACGGUAUCCAACCAGAAAGCCACGGCUAACUACGUGCCAGCAGCCGCGGUAAUACGUAGGUGGCAAGCGUUAUCCGGAUUUAUUGGGCGUAAAGCGAGCGCAGGCGGUUUUUUAAGUCUGAUGUGAAAGCCCUCGGCUUAACCGAGGAAGUGCAUCGGAAACUGGGAAACUUGAGUGCAGAAGAGGACAGUGGAACUCCAUGUGUAGCGGUG